GACCGCUUGGCGCAAUGGUAGCGCGGUCAACUCCAGAUCGAAAGGUAAGGCGUUCGAUCCGCUCAGUGGUCA
Molecule: non-coding RNA, 72 nt
Organism: Angiostrongylus cantonensis (rat lungworm)
Lineage: Eukaryota; Metazoa; Nematoda; Chromadorea; Rhabditida; Metastrongylidae
Source: Rfam